AAAGGACUAGAAAUGAAUACCCAACUCCUUCACUCUCAUAUGCAAUCAAUAGCAAAGCUAGAGACCCAGAUAGGUCAGCUAGCAACAGCUUUCAGUAGGAGAGAAGAAGGCAAAUUACCCAGUCAGCCUAUUAAUAAUCCAAAAGGACAGUACAUGGCUGAAAGCUCCAUUGGUCCUGAAACUUUUUUCGAACAUGCCAAAUCGAUUAUGACCCUUAGAAGUGGAAAAAUCUUAAAUCAACCUGAAGUAAUCCAACAACAAGAGCAACCAAUUUCAGCUACAAC
RNAcentral lists this long non-coding RNA (284 nucleotides) under Elaeis guineensis (African oil palm). Its description in RNAcentral is "long non-coding RNA (EGUI_LNC080087)". The record is from RNAcentral. Lineage: Eukaryota; Viridiplantae; Streptophyta; Magnoliopsida; Arecales; Arecaceae.